CCUACGGGAGGCAGCAGUGGGGGAUAUUGCACAAUGGGGGGAACCCCGAUGCAGCGACGCCGCGUGGGUGAAGAAGUAUUUCGGUAUGUAAAGCCCUAUCGGCAGGGAAGAAAUUGGACGGUACCUGACUAAGAAGCCCCGGCUAACUACGUGCCAGCAGCCGCGGUAAUACGUAGGGGGCAAGCGUUAUCCGGAUUCACUGGGUGUAAAGGGCGUGUAGCCGGGCUGACAAGUCAGAUGUGAAAUCCGGGGGCUCAACCCCCGAACUGCCUUUGAAACUUUUUGUCUUGAGUAUCGGAGAGGCG
RNAcentral lists this ribosomal RNA (305 nucleotides) under uncultured bacterium. RNAcentral describes it as "partial 16S ribosomal RNA". It matches the Rfam family "Bacterial small subunit ribosomal RNA", at positions 338 to 659 of the family's 1533-position model. The record is from RNAcentral.